AUUGAACGCUGGCGGCAGGCCUAACACAUGCAAGUCGAGCGGAUGAAGGGAGCUUGCUCCUGGAUUCAGCGGCGGACGGGUGAGUAAUGCCUAGGAAUCUGCCUGGUAGUGGGGGAUAACGUCCGGAAACGGGCGCUAAUACCGCAUACGUCCUGAGGGAGAAAGUGGGGGAUCUUCGGACCUCACGCUAUCAGAUGAGCCUAGGUCGGAUUAGCUAGUUGGUGGGGUAAAGGCCCACCAAGGCGACGAUCCGUAACUGGUCUGAGAGGAUGAUCAGUCACACUGGAACUGAGACACGGUCCAGACUCCUACGGGAGGCAGCAGUGGGGAAUAUUGGACAAUGGGCGAAAGCCUGAGCCAGCCAUGCCGCGUGUGUGAAGAAGGUCUUCGGAUUGUAAAGCACUUUAAGUUGGGAGGAAGGGCAGUAAGUUAAUACCUUGCUGUUUUGACGUUACCAACAGAAUAAGCACCGGCUAACUUCGG
This 483-nucleotide ribosomal RNA is filed under the name uncultured bacterium. RNAcentral's name for it is "partial 16S ribosomal RNA". It matches the Rfam family "Bacterial small subunit ribosomal RNA", at positions 30 to 506 of the family's 1533-position model. The record is from RNAcentral.